Long non-coding RNA from Cyprinus carpio (common carp), 451 nucleotides. RefSeq lists it as uncharacterized. NCBI's taxonomy places the organism in Eukaryota, Metazoa, Chordata, Actinopteri, Cypriniformes, Cyprinidae. The transcript is spliced from 3 exons. The record is from RefSeq and is a predicted model, not a curated record.
CACGUGACGCGCUCCAGUAACGUGACUGUCUGGAGAAACGGGAAGUUCGUGAUUCUCUCAGCUGUUACAACUUCAUUCUUUCCAGAAGACACGCCGCGCGCUCCGUUAGAAAACAUUCAUAUCCAGACGGUAAACGUGAACCCCUGUCGCUGUCGGUGUCGGUGUGUUAUCAUCCGGUCAUGGGCUCUCUGUUCCGCAGUGAAGAGGUCUGUCUGGUUCAGAUCUUCCUCCAGACGGGAUCGGCCUACAACUGUGUCAGUGAACUGGGAGAGCUGGGAAUCGUGGAGUUCAGAGAUCUGAAUCCAAAUGUGAACGCGUUCCAGAGGAAGUUUGUGAACGAGGUGAGGAGAUGUGAGGAACUGGAGAAAACCUUUGGUGAGUCUGUCCCUCCUCAACUCCCAUGAUCCUGCACUCCUUCUUUCUAUUCACCCGGUUUCAUUAUUUCACACGU